CCUACGGGUGGCUGCAGUGGGGAAUAUUGCGCAAUGGGCGAAAGCCUGACGCAGCGACGCCGCGUGAGGGAUGAAGGUCUUCGGAUCGUAAACCUCUGUCAGCAGGGAAGAACGGUCACUGUGCUAAUCAGCAGUGAGUUUACGGUACCUGCAAAGGAAGCACCGGCUAACUCCGUGCCAGCCGCCGCGGGAAUACGGGGGGUGCGAGCGUUAAUCGGAAUUACUGGGCGUAAAGCGCUCGUAGGCGGUAUGUCAAGUCAAGGGUGAAAUCCCCGCGCUCAACGUGGGAACUGCCUUUGAAACUGGCAAACUGGAGUGUGUGAGAGGAUAGUGGAAUUCCAGGUGUAGGAGUGAAAUGCGUAGAUAUCUGGAGGAACAUCAGUGGCGAAGGCGACUAUCUGGCACAUAACUGACGCUGAGGAGCGAAAGCGUGGGUAGCAAACAGGAUUAGAUACCCUAGUAGUC
This 465-nucleotide ribosomal RNA is filed under the name uncultured bacterium. RNAcentral's name for it is "partial 16S ribosomal RNA". It matches the Rfam family "Bacterial small subunit ribosomal RNA", at positions 338 to 795 of the family's 1533-position model. The record is from RNAcentral.